Molecule: ribosomal RNA, 492 nt
Filed under: uncultured bacterium
Lineage: Bacteria
Description: partial 16S ribosomal RNA
Rfam family: Bacterial small subunit ribosomal RNA
Source: RNAcentral
AGUGAACGCUGGCGGUAGGCCUAACACAUGCAAGUCGAACGGCAGCACAGUAAGAGCUUGCUCUUACGGGUGGCGAGUGGCGGACGGGUGAGGAAUACAUCGGAAUCUACUUUUUCGUGGGGGAUAACGUAGGGAAACUUACGCUAAUACCGCAUACGACCUACGGGUGAAAGCAGGGGAUCUUCGGACCUUGCGCGAUUGAAUGAGCCGAUGUCGGAUUAGCUAGUUGGCGGGGUAAAGGCCCACCAAGGCGACGAUCCGUAGCUGGUCUGAGAGGAUGAUCAGCCACACUGGAACUGAGACACGGUCCAGACUCCUACGGGAGGCAGCAGUGGGGAAUAUUGGACAAUGGGCGCAAGCCUGAUCCAGCCGUACCGCGUGGGUGAAGAAGGCCUUCGGGUUGUAAAGCCCUUUUGUUGGGAAAGAAAAGCAGCAGGUUAAUACCCCGCUGUUCUGACAGUACCCAAAGAAUAAGCACCGGCUAACUUCGUG